UGAAAUAACUUCUGAUGGGGAGUGUUCAGGUGAAGAUGUUGCUGUUUGUUUCACAGACAAGGCGUGGACGUUGCUGGAUCUUGACCAGAAAGCUCAGCAUAAAGAGGUCAAGGAGGAGAAUCGUGGGAUCAUGGACUCUCUUGGUAAGGCUCCCUGUUGGAUCAUAACAUGUUGUGAUUGCAGAUGGAGUGGAUUCCAUGACUGAGCCAGAACAAAAUCCAUCCCAGAUAAAAGCCAAGCAAUAUCUCAGUUAAUACCAGCCAACUAAGGAAGUGAAACCUAUAGGACGGCCUCACAUCUCAUUCUCUUCAGAUCUUCCUCUGUCACAAGCAUUCAUUAACAUUGUUCAAUAAUCUGGAGCUCCCAUUUCCUCCUGAGACUCUAAUUAGCAUCUCUCUUCAUUGCAGGUGGUGAUGACUUAGAAGGGAAGAACAAGGGAGAGCACAACAGGAUCCACAUAGCGGAGAAGUCAUGUAAAUAUUCAGAGUGUGGAGAGAACAUCCGUCAGAGCUCCCAGUCCAACUCCCAUCAAAGAAAGAGCUUCAUUCGAAGGAAUAGCCUCACUUCACACGAAAUAACACAGAGUAGGGAGAAAUCGUAUCAGUGCUUGGAGUGUGGAAAGAGCUUCAGCCAGAGGGCCCAUCUCACUUCUCAUCAAAUAAUUCAUACAGGGGAGAAGCCCUAUCAGUGCUUGGAAUGUGGAAAGAGCUUCAAUCGAAAGAAUAAUUUCACUGUGCAUCAAAGAAUUCAUACAGGGGAAACCAUAUCAGUGCUUGGAAUGUGGAAAGAGCUUUCGUGUGAGUGGUGAACUCACUUCCCACCAAAGAAUUCAUACAGGGAGAAACCCUAUCAGUGCUUCGAAUGUGGGAAGAGCUUUCGUGUGAGUGGUGA
Podarcis lilfordi (Lilford's wall lizard) is the source of this 891-nucleotide non-coding RNA. The record is from the annotation of a GenBank genome assembly. NCBI's taxonomy places the organism in Eukaryota, Metazoa, Chordata, Lepidosauria, Squamata, Lacertidae.